RNAcentral lists this ribosomal RNA (956 nucleotides) under Bacillus sp. (in: firmicutes). Its description in RNAcentral is "bacterial SSU rRNA". It matches the Rfam family "Bacterial small subunit ribosomal RNA", at positions 56 to 996 of the family's 1533-position model. The record is from RNAcentral. Lineage: Bacteria; Bacillati; Bacillota; Bacilli; Caryophanales; Bacillaceae.
UGCAAGUCGAGCGGACAGAAGGGAGCUUGCUCCCGGAUGUUAGCGGCGGACGGGUGAGUAACACGUGGGUAACCUGCCUGUAAGACUGGGAUAACUCCGGGAAACCGGAGCUAAUACCGGAUAGUUCCUUGAACCGCAUGGUUCAAGGAUGAAAGACGGUUUCGGCUGUCACUUACAGAUGGACCCGCGGCGCAUUAGCUAGUUGGUGAGGUAACGGCUCACCAAGGCGACGAUGCGUAGCCGACCUGAGAGGGUGAUCGGCCACACUGGGACUGAGACACGGCCCAGACUCCUACGGGAGGCAGCAGUAGGGAAUCUUCCGCAAUGGACGAAAGUCUGACGGAGCAACGCCGCGUGAGUGAUGAAGGUUUUCGGAUCGUAAAGCUCUGUUGUUAGGGAAGAACAAGUGCAAGAGUAACUGCUUGCACCUUGACGGUACCUAACCAGAAAGCCACGGCUAACUACGUGCCAGCAGCCGCGGUAAUACGUAGGUGGCAAGCGUUGUCCGGAAUUAUUGGGCGUAAAGGGCUCGCAGGCGGUUUCUUAAGUCUGAUGUGAAAGCCCCCGGCUCAACCGGGGAGGGUCAUUGGAAACUGGGAAACUUGAGUGCAGAAGAGGAGAGUGGAAUUCCACGUGUAGCGGUGAAAUGCGUAGAGAUGUGGAGGAACACCAGUGGCGAAGGCGACUCUCUGGUCUGUAACUGACGCUGAGGAGCGAAAGCGUGGGGAGCGAACAGGAUUAGAUACCCUGGUAGUCCACGCCGUAAACGAUGAGUGCUAAGUGUUAAGGGGUUUCCGCCCCUUAGUGCUGCAGCUAACGCAUUAAGCACUCCGCCUGGGGAGUACGGUCGCAAGACUGAAACUCAAAGGAAUUGACGGGGGCCGCACAAGCGGUGGAGCAUGUGGUUUAAUUCGAAGCAACGCGAGAACCUUACCAGGUCUUGACAUCCUCUGACA